RNAcentral lists this ribosomal RNA (253 nucleotides) under uncultured bacterium. RNAcentral's name for it is "partial 16S ribosomal RNA". It matches the Rfam family "Bacterial small subunit ribosomal RNA", at positions 524 to 776 of the family's 1533-position model. The record is from RNAcentral.
UACGGAGGGUGCGAGCGUUGUCCGGAAUCACUGGGCGUAAAGGGCGCGUAGGCGGCCCUGUAAGUCACUUGUGAAAUCCCGGGGCUCAACUCCGGGGCUGCUGGUGAGACUGCAAGGCUAGAGCUUGGUAGAGGCGAGUGGAAUUCCCGGUGUAGCGGUGGAAUGCGUAGAUAUCGGGAAGAACACCGGUGGCGAAGGCGGCUCGCUGGGCCAAUGCUGACGCUGAGGCGCGAAAGCGUGGGGAGCAAACAGG